GAUAAACGCUGGCGGCGUGCCUAAUACAUGCAAGUCGAGCGAACGGACGAGAAGCUUGCUUCUCUGAUGUUAGCGGCGGACGGGUGAGUAACACGUGGAUAACCUACCUAUAAGACUGGGAUAACUUCGGGAAACCGGAGCUAAUACCGGAUAAUAUUUUGAACCGCAUGGUUCAAAAGUGAAAGACGGUCUUGCUGUCACUUAUAGAUGGAUCCGCGCUGCAUUAGCUAGUUGGUAAGGUAACGGCUUACCAAGGCAACGAUGCAUAGCCGACCUGAGAGGGUGAUCGGCCACACUGGAACUGAGACACGGUCCAGACUCCUACGGGAGGCAGCAGUAGGGAAUCUUCCGCAAUGGGCGAAAGCCUGACGGAGCAACGCCGCGUGAGUGAUGAAGGUCUUCGGAUCGUAAAACUCUGUUAUUAGGGAAGAACAUAUGUGUAAGUAACUGUGCACAUCUUGACGGUACCUAAUCAGAAAGCCACGGCUAACUAUGUGCCAGCAGCCGCGGUAAUACGUAGGUGGCAAGCGUUAUCCGGAAUUAUUGGGCGUAAAGCGCGCGUAGGCGGUUUUUUAAGUCUGAUGUGAAAGCCCACGGCUCAACCGUGGAGGGUCAUUGGAAACUGGAAAACUUGAGUGCAGAAGAGGAAAGUGGAAUUCCAUGUGUAGCGGUGAAAUGCGCAGAGAUAUGGAGGAACACCAGUGGCGAAGGCGACUUUCUGGUCUGUAACUGACGCUGAUGUGCGAAAGCGUGGGGAUCAAACAGGAUUAGAUACCCUGGUAGUCCACGCCGUAAACGAUGAGUGCUAAGUGUUAGGGGGUUUCCGACCCUUAGUGCUGCAGCUAACGCAUUAAGCACUCCGCCUGGGGAGUACGACCGCAAGGUUGAAACUCAAAGGAAUUGACGGGGACCCGCACAAGCGGUGGAGCAUGUGGUUUAAUUCGAAGCAACGCGAAGAACCUUACCAAAUCUUGACAUCCUUUGACAACUCUAGAGAUAGAGCCUUCCCCUUCGGGGGACAAAGUGACAGGUGGUGCAUGGUUGUCGUCAGCUCGUGUCGUGAGAUGUUGGGUUAAGUCCCGCAACGAGCGCAACCCUUAAGCUUAGUUGCCAUCAUUAAGUUGGGCACUCUAAGUUGACUGCCGGUGACAAACCGGAGGAAGGUGGGGAUGACGUCAAAUCAUCAUGCCCCUUAUGAUUUGGGCUACACACGUGCUACAAUGGACAAUACAAAGGGCAGCGAAACCGCGAGGUCAAGCAAAUCCCAUAAAGUUGUUCUCAGUUCGGAUUGUAGUCUGCAACUCGACUACAUGAAGCUGGAAUCGCUAGUAAUCGUAGAUCAGCAUGCUACGGUGAAUACGUUCCCGGGUCU
This 1372-nucleotide ribosomal RNA is filed under the name uncultured bacterium. RNAcentral's name for it is "bacterial SSU rRNA". It matches the Rfam family "Bacterial small subunit ribosomal RNA", at positions 28 to 1381 of the family's 1533-position model. The record is from RNAcentral.